RNAcentral lists this long non-coding RNA (2421 nucleotides) under Oreochromis niloticus (Nile tilapia). Its description in RNAcentral is "lncRNA (ENSONIG00000039360.1)". Lineage: Eukaryota; Metazoa; Chordata; Actinopteri; Cichliformes; Cichlidae. The record is from RNAcentral.
AUGUCCCGCCUGCUGCCGCUCAGGGUGCCCCACCACCAGCCAAGCAGUCCGACCGCAAGAAGAAGCGGACUGCCUAACAUCCCCCACGGGGAGAUCGGAGCCGGACCAGCCCGAGCUCCAAGUUCACUCCAGGGCUCAGUUCCGGAGCCCGUUCGGAGAAGUGUGUCCUGCCUCCUCCUUUCAGCGCCUGGGACUCGAGUUGGAUCCCACAGAGCGCAUUUCAACAAAGAGACGACGAGACACUGUUCAGCGCAGUCAAGCGAGUCACAGUCUCAUAAAAACAUUCUGUUUAUUAAAAACUCACCCGUUGCAUCCAGGCAUGUUGCCAAGGGCACGGGAAAAGUGUGUGAAAAACACAGAAAGUAUGUUGAAAAACAUAAUGCCCCCACGCACCCAGACACCACCGGGGUUGAUUUCCUCAGUGGUGUCCGGACCCAUGAGCGCUGGUCAGGCGCGAGCCGCCCGCGCAUGCGCAGUCGGAUCUGGCCCGAAGGACCAGUUUCCGCCACAAGAGGGAGCCAGAGCUCCGUCUACUGUGGAGUGCCUGUCAUUGGGACCGCUGUCGGCGAGAAUAGAGCGAUGGCGAGCUCUCGCUGCACCAGAAUGGGUUGUGAGGACAUUAGAACGAGGCUAUCGUUUGCAAUUCGCAAACACCCCUCCCAGAUUUCACAGAGUGAUUUUCUCUCUUGCAAGGGGCGAAUCAGCCAGGAUCCUGCAAGAAGAAAUAACUACUUUGCUGUCAAAGGGAGCAGUACGAGAAAUACCCCAGGAGCAGAGCCAGUGCGGCUUUUACUCAAAGUAUUUUCUCGUGCCCAAGAAAGGAGGGGGACUGCGUCCGAUACUGGACCUACGGGCUCUGAAUCAGCAUCUGAGGUCAUACAAAUUCAGGAUGCUGACGCCCACCACUCUGCUGCAUGUAGUGCGCCCAGGCGAUUGGUUUACAUCAAUAGACCUGAAGGACGCAUAUUUUCACAUUCCUAUUUACCCGCCUCACAGGAAAUUCCUGCGCUUUGCGUUUCAGGGCAGAAUGUACGAGUACCAGGUCCUGCCGUUUGGUCUCUCACUGAGCCCUCGGGUAUUUGUGAAAUGCACAGAGGCAGCCAUAGCCCCACUGAAGAGGCGGGGCAUCCGCAUAGCAUCAUACAUAGACGAUUGGCUGCUGCUAUCAGAGUCAGAAAUAAUGGGAAGAGAGCACACCAGGUUGACAGUGGAUCAUCUGAUGGCUCUGGGUUUCACCAUAAACUACGAAAAGAGUGUCCUGCAGCCAGCUCAGGCCAUCUCUUUCAUAGGAAUAGCCCUCAACUCCCAAACGUACAGAGCGUGUCUCUCUGUGGACAGAGCACAGAAAAUGCUAUCACAUGCCGGCAUUUUUCAGUUGGGAAGAUAUCUCCCAUUCAGGAAAUGCCUGCAGAUGCUGGGAUUGAUGGCGUCCUCACUGGCGGUCAUUCCACUGGGCAGACUGCAUAUGAGGGAAUUUCAGCGAUGGGUCGCAUCUCUGAGACUGAAUCAAAAGCGCCAUACCCACCGCCAUAUCAGAGUGACAGCAGACUGUGCUGCAGCACUCCGCUGUUGGAGAAAUCCCACAUUUCUCACUCAGGGGGUGUCACUGGGGGCUGUCACAGCCAGAAAGGUGGUAACCACGGACGCGAGUCUCACGGGCUGGGGCGCCACUCACGAGGGCAGAGCAGUGAGCGGCAGCUGGGACUCACAACAGAGGGGUGCUCACAUAAAUUGGCUAGAAUUGCUAGCAGCAUUUCUAGCACUGAGACACUUCCUUCCCCUGUUGAGGAACCACCAUGUUCUGAUCAGAACAGACAACACCACUGUUGUGGCGUACAUCAACAGACAGGGCGGGUUACGUUCCCGUCCGUUGCACAUGCUGGCUCGCAGACUGAUCAUGUGGAGCAGCAUCAAUUUGUUGUCACUGAGAGCUACUCACAUUCCAGGAGCUCUGAACUUGGGAGCGGACUUAAUGUCCAGGGGAAACCCGCAAUACGGGGACUGGACCCUGCACCCACAUGUGGUGACCGAAAUCUGGACCCGCUUUGGCCAGCCACAGGUCGAUCUGUUUGCCUCGAGGGAGAACGCUCAGUGUCCACUGUAUUUCUCCCUGAGGGACCAGGAAGCUCCGCUGGGGGUAGACGCAUUAGCUCACAACUGGCCACAUGCUCUGCUUUAUGCGUUCCCUCCGCUGGCCUUAAUUUCUCCCACUCUAACCAGAGUGAGAGAAAAAGGGCUAACAGUGAUAUUGAUCGCCCCAAGGUGGACGAGGUCCCAUUGGUUGGCGGAAAUUAUGCCCCUCUUGUGGGACGAACCGUGGCCUCUCCCUCUCCGACGAGACCUAGUCUCCCAAGCCAGGGGGAGAUUUUUCACCCUCAUCCCGAGCGCCUCGCCCUGUGGGCUUGGCCCGUGAGAGGCUGA